Long non-coding RNA from Papaver somniferum (opium poppy), 1418 nucleotides. RefSeq lists it as uncharacterized. The transcript is spliced from 4 exons. Lineage: Eukaryota; Viridiplantae; Streptophyta; Magnoliopsida; Ranunculales; Papaveraceae. The record is from RefSeq and is a predicted model, not a curated record.
UUCAAUUCCUUCCUCAUAUUUAAUAUUUAAAUUGGAAUUGAUAUUAAUCUUUAAAUUGGAAUUGAUAUUCAUUUGGUCUCUAGAUGUCGAUCUCGUUUCUGUAAGAUUUUAUUCUCUUUUAAUGGUGUUGUUAGGCAUUACAUUAGCACUAAGAAGAAGGCAACUUCACGAAUAUAUUAAAUGUUAAGAACCCUAGCUAAUAUUGAUUAGAGUAUCAGUCAAUUUCAGAAAUUGUUUGGGUUUUUACUUCGAUUCAUCAGUUUCUAGUGGCAGGAUCCAUUUCAAUUUAGAUUGUUAGGGUUCUACUUGGAUUCUUCAAUUUCUAAUGACAAGAUCCAUCUCAAUUUUAUUUGUUAGGGUAUAUACUUUGAUUCCUAAAAUUGGGUUUCAGUCAGUUUUCGGAAAUUAUGAGGGUUUCAAGUUAACCGAGUUAAUAAGAUAUGUGCUUUACUUGAUCAUUAUCUGCCUAGAGUUUAUGAAACUUGAUUAUGGUGAUGGUACACAGUAGUGUUAGAGUUUGAGUUGAUAUUGUAGUGUUGUGUGUUGUUGAAAAUUGUACUUCAGAUAUGGUUUUAUAAGAUUAUUUCUCAUUCUUUCUGAUAGCUAUCACUUGUAGUACUAUGAAAGUUGAAGUUGGUGGAGAUGUCUGAACUUCCUAUGCCCAUGUUAUGUUUUCUUCUCGGGCUCGGUUCAACUUCACUGGUCUUGGUGGCCUCUUUCUCAAAAUAGUGCUACAUCAAAGUGGUUUACAAAAAGUAACGGUUGUUGGAUGUUGAUGCAAUCAUAACUUAGGAAGGUGUUCCAAUUGUCAACCAAUUUACUGUUGUUGCCUGGGAGGUCUACUAAUACAAGUAUAACUGUUGGUGUCCAACCAUCACUGAAUCCUCCUCCUUGGACAGGGGUUGUGCCUUAGGCAGUGUAUUUAUUAGUGCUUGAGAAGGAAUUAGUUCAUCCUCCACUACGUAAGUCUUCUAAGCUGCAAGUCAAAUGCAUCUAGCAGAAAGCAGAGGGGAAUCAUGAUUUCAACAACUUAAAUUGAAGAUGCCCGACUUCCAGGAUAUUGGGAUCCCUAUACCUUCGUAUAGCUAUUGUUGCUUGAAUGAACUUCAGGAAAUGAGCAGCUGCAAGUGUUUAUAUUGAUUUUAGAAAGGAAAAUCCAGAAUGCGGUGAUGAAACUAUGGAAAAUGCGAUACAGAAGGAGUACUUGGAGAUAAUUUAGUAGGUGGCCAAAAACUUUGAUAAAUCAUACAAGAAUCUACCUAAUUGGACUGGCAGAAUUAGGUGAUAAUUUUAAUAAAUUGAAUUCCGUAUUAAUGUUUUGGAUGUUUAUUCUUUUUUGUGUAUGUGAGUUUGGGAUGUUAAUGUAAACCUGAAUCCAUAUUUGAAAUAAAAUUAAGGCAUAUUAACUUUCAAAUGAA